This 253-nucleotide ribosomal RNA is filed under the name uncultured bacterium. RNAcentral's name for it is "partial 16S ribosomal RNA". It matches the Rfam family "Bacterial small subunit ribosomal RNA", at positions 524 to 776 of the family's 1533-position model. The record is from RNAcentral.
UACGUAGGGGGCAAGCGUUGUCCGGAUUUAUUGGGCGUAAAGAGCGUGUAGGCGGUCUGGUAGGUCCGUUGUGAAAACUCGAGGCUCAACCUCGAGACGCCGAUGGAAACCCUCAGACUAGAGUCCGGAAGAGGAGAGUGGAAUUCCUGGUGUAGCGGUGAAAUGCGCAGAUAUCAGGAAGAACACCCGUGGCUAAGGCGGCUCUCUAGUACGUGACUGACGCUGAGACGCGAAAGCGUGGGGAGCAAACAGG